This is a long non-coding RNA of Hemicordylus capensis (graceful crag lizard), 2285 nucleotides long. RefSeq lists it as uncharacterized. The record is from RefSeq and is a predicted model, not a curated record. Lineage: Eukaryota; Metazoa; Chordata; Lepidosauria; Squamata; Cordylidae. The transcript has 7 exons.
CUUGGAGAAUUAAUGAUAUAGAUAUUCAGAGACUUCUCAGUCUCCCCCCGCCCCCAUAUCAAAGCCCUAUGGCAAGCAGAUCACUAUAUAUCCGGUGGGGGGAGGUAACCACAAAGAGGAAUUCACAUUCUACCUGGCAAAGGCUGGGCUAGCUGUGCUGGUCGGAGGGUCUGCUGCAGAGAACUGUAGGGGCCACUCUAGCUGCCUCCUUGCUUGCUUGCUUGCUUGCUUGCUUGGGGCCUGCAGGCCUACUCAAGUUCAGGCUUCACUGAGGCCUACAAGGAGAUCUCCCUGGAAGCCCCGCCCACCCACCAAUCAGCUGAGAGGUGGGGAGAAAAGGAGCUCCUAGCAGCUUGCCUGCUGCUUAGAUUGCUGGCUAGGAGGACAAGCAGGAGAGAGGGCAAGCAGGGCAAGUGGCUGAGGGACCUUGGGACCGGGCAGGGGGCAAUGAGGAGUCAUGUGAGGUGUCUCUGGGGCACCCCUCCAGGCAGUGGGGCCCCCAGACAACUGUCUCCCCUUGCUUAAUGCUUGCCCAUCUUGGCUUGGAGGCUUCUGGCACUGGGAUAUAAGCACCUGUUUGCUGAAUCUCUAAUCUGGGGUUGAAGCUACUUCAGGAGCAAACAGAGGCAGCAAGAGACAGCUCUGCUCUACAUACAAAGGACGGGGAGCCAUUUUCCCAGGCACAGCACAAGCGUCUGUUUUAGCUGCAGAAAAAUGAAGCAGGUGAAUGGAUGGCCACACAGCUCAGCUUUGACCCUUUGCCUCAAUGUUGACUCCUGGCUUUCUUCCUAAUCCUCUUGGUCUUCUAUGGGGAAUUCCUGAUCUCAACUUCAGUCUCUGUUGUAGCCUCUGGUGACCCAUGCUGUAGCCUCUGACGCCCAUGACCCAGUGCAGAUGGCUGCUGCUUCAGUAUGAGGCACAGAAAACAGUUUAAGGUUUUUACUGUGAAAACAAACUAUUCCUGAUUCCCUGAAGAGGUUUUUUUUGUUUAUGACUGUAUAACUAACUUGAUUCCAGGCAUUCAGGCACCAGUCUGCAACUCCUCUCCUCACCACAGCCCAUCCCUGUCUGCAUUUUCCUCCCUUAAUCUCUUCUGACACUACUACUCACCUCUUCCUUUUCCCUUCUGCACCAGUGUUUCUGAAGGAGAUUCUACUAAAAGACUUGAAAGAGGUGCUGGGCUUGUGCUGCAAUAAAAGAACUGACUGACCAUAACUCCAAGUGACCUGGGGAACUGCAGCUGGCCAUGCAUUGCCACAGUGCAAGUGAAAGAAAAGAAAUCCCUCCUUAAAAAUUCUUAAAAUUAUUACUAAAGGACCUGAAUAUUAUUUUCUGUACAAGAUUUGAGAGGUUGUUUGCCUGUUCUGUAUUGCUGUUGCUAUUUUAUUCCACUAUGAAUUAUUCUGUUUGUAUCUCUCUGUGUGAGUAGAAAGAACGAUCUCACCAAAGAGAGAAUUAUAAGCAAAAGUCUUUUCUCUCAUAGCCUUUGGACUCCAGAAUAUUUUCCUCCUUUCCUAAGAGUAACUGCAAUACGAGUGAGCAGUGUAGCAGCUGAGCUGUACAAAUGCAUUUUAAUGAGAAAAGAUCUUAGAUAUGCCCAGCAAUAGAAACCGGUGUGUGGAUUAUUUUAUCAGAAGAAACCAUUUUCUUAAUAUAACAAUGAUUUUAUAUACCAAAGCUAAUCAUGCUGAACUGGAAAAUCCAUCUGUUUUAAAACCAAUUUAGAUUUUGGAGUUAAUGCAACCUAAUUCUGCCCCAGAUAAGGGUUAUAGCUCCAUUACACAUAUUCCCCAAAGAAUGGUGGCCUGCACUCCAUAAGGUAUUUUUUGAAAGAUGCAAUACCUCAGAACUGUCUCAUUUUACCAAUACUAGAAUAAAAUUAAUUAUGGAAACAAUAGAGCUUAGGUCUGGGUUACCUUAGAGAGCGUCUUCUUCUGCAUGAUACCCCAUCGCACGUUGAGGUCAUCCAGAGAGGUCUGUCUCCAGUUACCACUGGCAAGUCUGGUGGCAACUCGGAACCACGCCUUCUCUGUUGUUGUUCCUAGCCUGUGGAAUGCACGCCCAGCAGAUAUCCAUAGUUUGGGCUGCUUGUUGGCCUUCAAGAGAGCCCUAAAAACCUACUUGUUUGGCCUGGCCUCCCAAAGUUUUUAAAUCAUUCUUAAGUAGUUGAAUUGGUUUUAAAUGGCUUUGAGCUGUUUUAUAUUUGUUUUUAUAUUGUUUUAAGCAGUUUGUUUUAAAUGGUGUGGAUUUUUUUUACUUCUUGUGCACUGCCCAGAGGUUUUGGA